UUGGACGGGGCCCGCACAAGCGGUGGAGCAUGUGGUUUAAUUCGAUGCAACGCGAAGAACCUUUACCUGGGCUUGACAUCCCGGGAAUCCCUUGGAAACAAGGGAGUGCCCGUUCGGGGAACCUGGAGACAGGUGCUGCAUGGCUGUCGUCAGCUCGUGUCGUGAGAUGUAGGGUUAAGUCCCGCAACGAGCGCAACCCUUGUCCUUAGUUGCCAGCAUUCAGUUGGGCACUCUAAGGAGACUGCCGGUGUUAAACCGGAGGAAGGUGGGGAUGACGUCAAGUCCUCAUGGCCCUUAUGUCCAGGGCUACACACGUGCUACAAUGGCCGGUACAAAGGGCUGCAAGACCGUGAGGUUGAGCGAAUCCCAGAAAGCCGGUCUCAGUUCGGAUUGGAGUCUGCAACUCGACUCCAUGAAGUUGGAAUCGCUAGUAAUCGUGGAUCAGCAUGCCACGGUGAAUACGUUCCCGGGCCUU
RNAcentral lists this ribosomal RNA (475 nucleotides) under uncultured Desulfuromonas sp. RNAcentral describes it as "bacterial SSU rRNA". It matches the Rfam family "Bacterial small subunit ribosomal RNA", at positions 916 to 1381 of the family's 1533-position model. The record is from RNAcentral. Lineage: Bacteria; Pseudomonadati; Thermodesulfobacteriota; Desulfuromonadia; Desulfuromonadales; Desulfuromonadaceae.